Molecule: long non-coding RNA, 866 nt
Organism: Vespula pensylvanica (western yellowjacket)
Lineage: Eukaryota; Metazoa; Arthropoda; Insecta; Hymenoptera; Vespidae
Exons: 2
Source: RefSeq, a predicted model, not a curated record
UUACGCGGUUUUAAGUGGGGGAGCUCGGUGGCGCGUAUGGCGGCUAUGAGAAGCCGAUUAGCUUGAGACUGUGUUAAAUUCUCUUGUAGGCGCGAAGGACGGUGGCAGGGACGACGUCGACGAUGGCGGUAGUGGUUCCAAUGGUUACGACGAUGGUGUGCCGGUAGAGGCAAAACGGACGAUCGUACUCGAGGACAUAAUUUACGCUUGGGAAAGGGCGAAGUAGCGACAGCAUUAGUAGCUAAGUGGGACCCUACGUUAUCCUAUAUCCCUUGUGGAGGAUUGCACCUUUGUGAGAGCUUACGUGCAUGCACGAAUAUACGUAUGUAUCUCUGCUACGUUUGUUUGAGUAGGUAUAUGUAGAUAUCUAUGUAUAUACUUAAAUAUAUAUAUGUAUGUGUGUAUACAUAUAUGGACGAAUCCUCUCCUUCGAAGCGAUUCCUAUCUACAGUGGGCCACUCGCCACGAUGGAGAACACCAAGAACCAUACAGAUUACGAUCUUCCAUCCUAACCACCGGGACGAGAGCGAGCCUUUAAGGUACCCACGAGCAGCACUCAAUUCAGAUAAUGGAAUGACUUGAUCGUACUACCACCACCUUCAUCACCAACACCGCCACCGCCACCACCAUCACCACCAUCACCACCACCACCACCAGCACCAUCACCAUCACCAUCAGGUUCGUCUUCGCGCGUACACCGUCCAUCAGCCUCAAGGCCUUUUACCCAGGCCGGAAUAAAUUGCCAUGCAGGGUGCGGCAUUUCCAACCAGCUUACGCCGAUUCCGUGCUUGUAUACCACCUAAGUAUCCGCGAUUGGUAUCCCAUUUAAGGUGGCUUUCAUUCUCAUUAAAACCACCGCGAUCGAA